This 1325-nucleotide ribosomal RNA is filed under the name uncultured organism. Its description in RNAcentral is "bacterial SSU rRNA". It matches the Rfam family "Bacterial small subunit ribosomal RNA", at positions 84 to 1403 of the family's 1533-position model. The record is from RNAcentral.
CCAGGCGACGACCGGCGCACGGGCGAGUAUCGCGUUUGUAACCUACCUUUAACUGGAAGAUAGCCCGAAGAAAUUCGGAUUAAUAUUCCAUAAUACUAUAGUUUGGCAUCAUUUUAUAGUUAAAGCUCCGGCGGUUAAAGAUGGGCAUGCGUAACAUUAGCUAGUUGGUGAGGUAACUGCUCACCAAGGCUACGAUGUUUAGGGGGUCUGAGAGGAUGGUCCCCCACACUGGUACUGAGACACGGACCAGACUCCUACGGGAGGCAGCAGUGAGGAAUAUUGGUCAAUGGGCGAAAGCCUGAACCAGCCAUGCCGCGUGAAGGAUGACGGCCCUAUGGGUUGUAAAACUUCUUUUAUACGGGAAGAAACCGUCCUACGUGUAGGGCGUUGACGGUACCGUACGAAUAAGCAUCGGCUAACUCCGUGCCAGCAGCCGCGGUAAAUACGGAGGAUGCAAGCGUUAUCCGGAUUUAUUGGGUUUAAAGGGUGCGUAGGCGGAAAUUUAAGUCAGUGAUGAAAUUCCUGCGGCUCAACCGUAGGAACUGUUAUUGAUACUUGAAUUUCUUGAAUACAGGUUGAGGUAGGCGGAAUGAAGUAAUGUAACGGUGAAAUGCUUAGAUAUUACUCAGAAACACCGAUCGCGAAGGCAGCUUUACUCAACUGAUAUGAACGCUGAGGCACGAAAGCUUGGGGAUCGAACAGGAUUAGAUACCCUUGGUAGUCCACGCCGUAAACGAUGAUCACUCGUUGUUGGCAAUACACCGUCAGCGACUGAGCGAAAGCAUUAAGUGAUCCACCUGGGGAGUACGAUCGCAAGAUUGAAACUCAAAGGAAUUGACGUGGGCCCGCACAAGCGGAGGAACAUGUGGUUUAAUUCGAUGAUACGCGAGGAACCUUACCUGGGCUUAAAUGUAGAGCGACGGACCGGGAAACUGGUCUUUCUUCGGACGAUCUACAAGGUGCUGCAUGGCUGUCGUCAGCUCGUGCCGUGAGGUGUCGGGUUAAGUCCCAUAACGAGCGCAACCCUCAUCAUUAGUUGCCAGCGGGUAAUGCCGGGGACUCUAAUGAAACUGCCGGUGUAAACCGAGAGGAAGGUGGGGAUGACGUCAAGUCAGCACGGCCCUUAUGUCCAGGGCUACACACGUGUUACAAUGGUCAGUACAAAGGGCAGCUACCAUGCGAAUGGAUGCUAAUCUCGAAAACUGGUCUCAGUUCGGAUCGGAGUCUGCAACUCGACUUCGUGAAGUUGGAUUCGCUAGUAAUCGCGCAUCAGCCACGGCGCGGUGAAUACGUUCCCGGGCCUUGUACACACCGCCCGUCAAGCC